Molecule: ribosomal RNA, 457 nt
Filed under: uncultured bacterium
Lineage: Bacteria
Description: bacterial SSU rRNA
Rfam family: Bacterial small subunit ribosomal RNA
Source: RNAcentral
UGGAGGCAGCAGUGGGGAAUAUUGGUCAAUGGGGGCAACCCUUGACCAGCCAUGCCGCGUGAAGGAUGAAGGCCCUACGGGUUGUAAACUUCUUUUAUUUGGGAAGAACUGUAGGUACGUGUACUUACUUGACGGUACCAAAGGAAUAAGCAUCGGCUAACUCCGUGCCAGCAGCCGCGGUAAUACGGAGGAUGCAAGCGUUAUCCGGAUUUAUUGGGUUUAAAGGGUGCGUAGGUGGGAUUGUAAGUCAGUGGUGAAAGCCUGUCGCUUAACGAUAGAAAUGCCAUUGAUACUACAAUUCUUGAGUACAAUUGAGGUAGGCGGAAUGUGCAGUGUAGCGGUGAAAUGCUUAGAUAUUGCACAGAACACCAAUUGCGAAGGCAGCUUACUAAACUGUAACUGACACUGAGGCACGAAAGCUAGGGGAGCAAACAGGAUUAGAUACCCCGGUAGUCCC